GCCAUUUUGUCUUGGUUGCUGGUUCUUCAUAACUUUUAUUUGGUUCCAAUUUGGCCUAGGUAGCUAAUUCUACAUAGCUAUAUAUACUAAUUAAUCGCAUGACUUCCUUCUUUUUAGGGCAGGCAGUUGGUACUAACAUUACCAUGCAAUGUUUCAUUUUUGUUUAGUCCCCCUAGCACAUUCAUCAAAGAGAAGAUAAACCAAACAAACUUUUGAGACUGCAUUUUUUAGCCAUGCCCCUUAAUCUUUAAUGUACUUUUUGUUUUUCAAUUUAAACUUCUAAGGGCGUCUUAGUUAUCGUUGGUGUCUUCUGUUUCUUUUAAGGGAAAAAAAAAGUACAAUACAUUUGGCAAGACAAGUUGUGUUUAUUUUCUAACCACUUAUCUCACAACAUUUCUCAAAUUGAAAAACAAUAAAGAGGAAACCAAAAAUGAUGAUUUCCAUGUUAUUGCUGCUACUUUAAAAAUAUGAACAGCAACUACUCUAUAAUCCUUUUUCUCUCAACAAUCUCCACCCUAUUUGAUUGUUUCUCGUUAAUUCCCCCUUUGUCUUCCUUCUCUUUAGGUUAUUCUACAUCACUGAUACCUUAAUCCAUCAUAUCUAGUACUCCUUUUAUUUUUCCUUUGAUUGCAUAAAAGUUGGCUCUGUUGCCAUGGAUCUGGGUAAUGUAAAAAUCAUGAAUCUACAGCUAGAUGACCAUGGGAAACAUGAAAUUAAUGGGUUUCUCCCUAAACUCAUAAAAGUGUUGAUGGCUAUGAUGCAGAAAUAGGAUAUUACUAAUAAAAGUGAUUUUAGGUAAUAGUUGG
This 806-nucleotide unclassified non-coding RNA is filed under the name Hevea brasiliensis (rubber tree). The record is from RNAcentral. Lineage: Eukaryota; Viridiplantae; Streptophyta; Magnoliopsida; Malpighiales; Euphorbiaceae.